RNAcentral lists this long non-coding RNA (6580 nucleotides) under Olea europaea subsp. europaea. Lineage: Eukaryota; Viridiplantae; Streptophyta; Magnoliopsida; Lamiales; Oleaceae. The record is from RNAcentral.
CCUACCUGUAGCAGAGCAGCCCGUCAACCGUCCACUGUAACUUGCAAUUUAAUUCCCAAAAAUCAAAACCUUCAAAUUUCAAGUUGUAUUAGAUGGAAGAAGAAGAUGUAAGUUUAAAUUUUAUGAUUUUGUUUGUAAAUUUCAGUUUUUUGUCAAAGUAUGCGUAAAAUAUAUAUCUCUAGAUUGGUAAUUUUUGAAAGAAUUUUACCUGAAUUUCAACGCCCUACCAUUCUGAAUUCUACAUACUUUAUUGAUUCAAAGCCCUACCUGUCUGAAUUUCAUACUUUAUUGCAUAGUUUAUCAUGCCCUACCUGUAUUAGGUGGAAUUCCUUUUACCUGAAUUUCAUGCGAAAACGUUAUCUCAAUGAAGUAUGAAUGAAUUACAUUCAAAUGACUGGUUGAUUUUCUGAAUGAAUUAAGUUCAGGUGACUGGUUGAUUUUCUCAUGUAUUCAAAAAAUGGUUUAUGAGAUUAAUGGUCAAUCUCUUCCAAACUGCUGCAAAAUAGUUUAUGAGAUUAAUGGUCAAUGUCUUACGAAUGAAUUAAGUUCAAAUUACUGGUCAAUUUUGUAAGUUCGAUUAAGUUUAGCUGGGUGAUUCUCUCAUCUAUUAAAAAAUGCUAGGAACAAGCUAUUGCAGAUCAUGAUCAUCCACCAUACAACUAAUGAUGGUUUAAACUUUCAUUAAGUUGGGAAAUGCUUCCAUUUCCAUUAGAAUUAGGUGGAAUUCCCACUUCUCUAGUUUUUCAAAUGCUGGUUUAGUCACAGCCUACUGCUAAUUUAACUAGGCCAUACAAGGUUGUGGAAGUAAAAAAGUUCAAUUGAAAUUAUGGAAAAAACAACAAGUGAACUAGAGAACCAGUUGACUACACUGGUUAGACCAAUUAGCAAAUUGGUCAUUAUAUAUAGUAUUAUGCUUGACCCCAGUUGUGUUUCUUAAGGUUCUCAAUAGUAUUAUAUAUAGUAUUAUGCAUGACACCAUUUGUUGUGUUUCUUAAGAUUCUCAAUUACCAAGCUACGCAUAGCAGUUCUUCUUGAUGAAAGUAAUCCAUGACCUGCUAUAAUUUGCUAAAUAAAUUAUUUUCUCAGUCUUUGAAUGCUUCAUUUUUAUGCUUCUGUUAAUGAAUUUCAGUUUCUUCAUCUACAUCUUAGUUUUUAUGAACAAAAAUGUCCCAUGGUGUUAUCACAUUUCACAAUUCAUGCGGACUAUGUCUGAAUAAACAAUCAAUGCUGUUGAAUAUUAUUUUUUUAUCAUUCAAUGAAAAUAGUUAAUAUAUAUAUAUUUUUUUUUUUAUAGGAAUUGACCCACAAUUAGUAAAAAAUGGAAAUAAAUUUAUCAUUCAAUGAAAAUAGUUAAUAUUAUUUUUUUAUAAGAAUUGACCCGUCGGUUGAACCAUCGAGUCGCCAGUUGAACCACUGACCCGUCGACUCACUGCGUUGUCCGGGUUGACAUCCGUGUAGGGUCUGAUAACUUGGUUUAAACACGUUUUUUUGCAGUUGACCGUUCUUUCGUAGAAUUCAUGUUGAUUUUAUUUUUUAUUUUUAAUUUGAAUAUCAUUUUAAUGAUAGACAUCGGUCAAUAGAUUUUUGUAAAUGUGAAAGAAAUAAAUGCGUCUUAAAUUUUAAUUGCCAUGAUGCUUAAAUAAUCUUUAAGAAUCAAAACAAAAAUUAAAAUUCCAACCAAAAUAGCACUUCAAAGAUUAUUUAUUUUUCUCUAUUGCAAAAUCGUAGUGGACCAUGUUUAUUAUCCAUGAACCAUAUUAACUUAUCCAUGAAUUUAUCAACUCUAAUUUAAAACAAAAUUUACUCUACUGGUUUGAUAAUAAUUUUUAUGAAAAACUGCAGCAACAAUCCCUUUUCUUUCACCUUUUUACAGACUUUACCUUAACCUUCAAUGUUUGCUCCCAGAGGUUCCUAACCUUUGAAAAAUAAGCACCUGAGGUCCAAAUAGAUGGAAACUAUCCAGUUGACUAUUAGUCGACAAACAAAAGUGAAUUUUGACUAAUUUUGACCAAAUUAAAAUGGGCAAAAUUGUAACUUUGCUAUUAUAUACGUAAAAUAUUUUUAAAAAUUAGAAAUAAAAUGAAAGAGAAAAGAAAAAAAAAAUCAACUUCUUCCACAUCGAUCUCACCAUCUCCCAUUCCACUCAUCCCAAACCAAAACCCAGAAACAACUCGCCGACCACCAUUGCAAACCAAAACCAGCAUCUCAAAUAACAACACAAAGAAUCUCCCCCAUUUGCCAUUAUAUACAUAAAAUAAUUUAAAGAUCUAGGCCUCCAUUUUCUCUCUAACUCUUCACUAGAUUUUUUAUUUCUCCAACAAAAAGAAUUUCCCUCCUAAACUUUAUUUUCCCUCACAAUACAAAUACUCAUCUUCAGAUUUCAUGAAACAGUGCUUGAGAUUCUGUGUUUUGGGCUCGACGAGGGAUAGAACAGCCCGUAUGCACAGAGAGAUGAUUCUUGAAGUAGGCUUUGAGUUUGAAGGGUGAAAUGGGUUUUAUGUGAAACCAAUAAAAUGUGGAUUUCAGGGAUUUUGUGGGAUGGAUUGUAGGGGUUUGAGAGAUGAGAUUUGUAGCUUCCAUUGUUGGGGGAAAGGGAAGAAAAUGCAGGAGACAACAAAGAAAGAUAAUGAUUUUUUGGUUUGGGAAGGUUCUUAGGCCAUCUCCAACCCUUCACCAAAUUUUGCACCAUUUUGCACCAAAUUUUGCACUAAAUUUUACGCCAAACCAAAAUUCUUCUCCAACCAUUACACCAAAAUUUACACCAAAUGAACAGUGCUUUAUUAUUUUAUUCAUUCUUUCGAUUUUUGACAAUAUAUUUAUUUUAAAAUAUUAUUUAUUUAUUUUAUAACUAUAUAUAUUACUAAAUCAUAACUUCAUUAAAUUAACCAAUAUAUUGAUUACUAUAUUAUCACAUGUCAUAUAUAUUAUGUUAAAUUGACAAAAAUAAUUGAUUAUAUUAUUAAUUUAUGAUAAACAAUUACGUUAAAUUUACAAAAAUAAUAAACUUUAAUAAUAUAAACUUUACAUUAAAUUAAAUUUUAAACGUAAACUUUACGAAUUUAACUGUACGUUAAAUUAACAAUUACGUUAAUUAUUAUUGAUUAUAUUAUUAAAAAUAAUAAAUUUUAAUAAUAUAAUUAAUAGUGUAAUUAAUUAAGUAAUUAUUAUUAUUAUCAUCAUUAUCAUUAUCAUUAUUAUUAUAGAACGAAAAUGACACAAAUGCCCUUAACCCUUAUCUUUGAAAAAAGAAAAAUAAGGGCAAAAUGGACAUUACACCAUUUGGUGCAAAAUGGUGCAACAUGAAUAGUGUUGCACCAUAUUUGGUGCAACACUAUUCAUUACACCAUUUUUUGCACCAAAAUUUGGUGCAAUGGUGCAAUGGUUGGAGGAAGUUUGCACCAAAUUUUGGUGCAAUUUGGUGCAAUGGUGCAAUGAUUGGAGAUGGCCUUAGAAUUGGAGAAUUAGGCUUAAACCAGUUUUUGGAAAAGAUACAUAGUGCUUGGAAUGCGAAAUACAGGUACUUGCAGCUCAUUUGAUUUGACGUCGACAAUGGUGUUAGAGGUUGUGAUGGCAUUAGGUAUGGCCGUGGAUGGGGUGGAGUGGGGUGAAGGAGACACAUUUUUUAUUUCUUUUCUCAUUUUUUUGGCUUUUUAUUCUUUUUUUCUGAUUUUUUUAGUUUUUUAUAAUAUAGGUUUGACUAAGUUAUUAUUUUGCCCUUACCAAAUUUGGUCAAAUCAAUUUAUGUGGUGAACUAAUGGUCAUUUCCAUUCAUUUGGACUCUAACUACAUAUUUAUGUAAGAUUUGGGACCUUCAUUGACACAAAUUGAAGGUGAGGGUAAAAUCUGCAAAAAUUGAAUAGAUUAGAACUGUUACUGCAAUUUUUCCUAAUUUUUAUUCAAAGGAAUUUUUAAAGCAUUUUUGCGUUGCAGGCAUAUUUACUUUUUAAGUUUUAAUUGUUGGAAUAUUGUUGCUUUUAUCUUCUUCUUCUUCCCUCCUUUUUUUUUUUUAUUUUUUUUGUACUUGUUGCUUUGCUGGCAUAUUUUUAAAUUGAAAUAUUAUUGUUGUCUUGUUAGCUUAUUAUUGAAUAACUUGAAUUGUUGUUGCCUUGUCGACUUAAUGUUAAAUUGUGGCUCCCUUUUCAUUCGUGCUUUUAGAAUUUACGAAUAUAAUGUCAACCUUAUGCUACAAGAGGAAAUAUACUAGUUUCAUUUUUUAAGAAAACAAAUCAAUAUAAGAAAGUAUACUUCAUGAUGGAUUGACCAAAAAUCAACAUGUAAUUCCAAUUAUGCAACACUUCAUGAAUGAGAACUUGUUAUGAAUAUCAUGUUUAAAAUUCUCAACCAGAACGAUACAAAUAAAUGUCCUUUAAUGACUUUUUUUUUUGUUACAUAUAAAUUUUAUUACAUUAACUUUCUUAAAUUUCAGUCCCUUAACAAAAAUUCUAGAUCCGGCCCCGUAAAGCUAUUUGUUUUCUGGUAAGUGAACUAAGUAAAGUUAGUGAGGAUUUUAGUAUUUGUUUCCACCAUAUUUGCACAUUGUAUCUGUAAAAGUAAAGAAUAUAAUUCUGAAUGAAAAAUCAAUUUUUUUUUUUAUCAUUCUUUUUUUUUUUUUUUUUUUUUUUUAUGGCCUAGGCACUCAAAUUAGCCCCUGUUUUUUAUUUCAAGGUCCGGGCAGUUGCCUAGUCCAGAUAACUGGUGGAGUACCCAGUUAUAACGACUUCCCAAUUUUUUCGUUUUGGUCAUCUACUUCAUUCUUUCCUCAAUUGUGAUCCUUUCACUUUAAAUUACUUCUAUUUUGGACCUUCAACUUCUAUUUGCAUUCAAUUUGAACUAUUAACGUCUUAAUCUUCAAUUUGUGGUCCGAAUCAACUAUUAAAAUAUUGCAAUUUAGUACCCAUACUUUACUUUUUCCCAGUUUUCAUCAAUUUUCAUUUUUUUUUAAUUCCUCGUCCAUUUAUUGAGUUUCACCUAAUAAACAAAAUAUAUAAUGAAUUAGGUCAUAAUUAAUCAAAAUAAUUUCGAAAUAUCUAUAUUUAAAGGGCCAAAUAAGUAUAUAAAACGCACUUGUCAACGAGUCAUGCAAUCUAAAUUGUUUUUGCCCAUUAAACCUUUUCUGUGGGGAUCUCUAUUCACAAACAUUGGGUCAACCAUUUCUUUUUCCCAAAAUCUUGGAACUUAAAAUAUAAGAAAAUUGUAUUAUUGGUAUCCAAUCUCAAAAGGGUUAAAAUUGGUUAAAUUUUUAAUGCACAUAAUUAAACAUAAGAAAGAUUGUGUUGCAGGAAGCUGACUUAAGGUGUUCUUACGAAAGGACACAAUUUGCCCAUGUUUAGUUUAUAUUAAAAUCAAAUUUUUAGCAGAUUUUAAUAAAAGUCGGUGAAAUAUAUAAUUAAAAUUAAUUGAUGACUUUCAAUUGAAACUAAAAUUAGAUUUUAAUAUGCAAGGUUACUUGGCAAAGUUAAAACCAUGACGUGUUUACAUUAUUGAAUAAAACUUUAAGUCUGUAACAUGUAGUACCAGACUUGAUAGUUGUCAAAGACUAAGUUUGCUUAUUUCCGAAACUCAAGAUCAAAUAUUUUUUCCUUGAAUUAUGCCAUUUGUACACCUUUUAUUUUACAUCGUUGUUGAAAUUAUAAUUAUUGUCAACAAAUAGAUGGAUGAAUUUUUUUUAUUUUUUUGUUUAACUAUCCAUUGGUGUAAUGCCACAUGACAAGGUGUAAAUCAUGAUGUACACCAUUGUUUUCCCUUUGCUUUAUUACUUGUAUACCAAUAAAGAAAGAGAGAAAUCAAUACGGGAUUCCUGGUUGCUUCAUUUCCUAAUUAAAGGUUGGAAAGUGAAGUUUUUUAAUAAUUAGGUGACAAUGGAUUUGAAUUUAAGAUAUUUUUCCAUUUAAAUACUAUGUUUAUCUAUUUUAUCUAAAGUUUUAUUAAAAAAGAAAGAUUAUUUAUUUAAAUUUUAUUUUCAACUCUGAAUAUCAAAAAGUUCUGACCCUAACAACUUUUCCUUCCCUCGACAACACGUAUGAACCCAAAGUUCAAUGAUUGUAUAAGAAAUUUAUAAAACAUUUAACUUAUUUAUAAAAACAGCUCCAAUUAUAGCAACCUGAUAAUAUAUAAAAUCACACAGUUAGUCUUUGUUUUUUCAUUAAUGGUAAAAGGUUGCACUAUCUAAUAAUAUAUAAAAUCAAAGAAGCUAAUAAAUACCGGCAAUACUUUUUUGCCCUAAUUAUAUAUGUAUUUCAUCUCCAUUUGAAAUUUGAUAUUUAGGUACAGCUUGUUGGAAAUAAUUGAGAGAUGGAGAAGAAGCAAAAGAGAAAAUCACAAGAAAAUAUGGCAACAAGAUGGAUCAAAACAAAAUUUAUAUCAACAAAUGUGAAGGCUUGAACGCGGGAUCGCUGUCUUCAAACGUUAUUUGCCCCUUCUCCGAUGUAUUCGAAAUGCUAAAAGAUAUUCCGACAAAUGGUUUGAAAAAUUAUAACAAGCUUGUAAAGAAUUUCACCAAAGUAUAAGAUGAAAUUCUCCAAAACUUGAAGAACACGAGGAUAUGAAUAUAAGUCGGGAUUUGUUUUUUCUUGGAACAAAG